Molecule: ribosomal RNA, 254 nt
Filed under: uncultured bacterium
Lineage: Bacteria
Description: partial 16S ribosomal RNA
Rfam family: Bacterial small subunit ribosomal RNA
Source: RNAcentral
GACGAACCGUGCGAACGUUGUUCGGAAUCACUGGGCUUAAAGGGCGCGUAGGCGGCUCGCGAGGUCGGGGGUGAAAUCCCGCAGCUUAACUGCGGAAGGGCCUCCGAUACCGGCGGGCUGGAGGAAGGUAGGGGUGCGCGGAACUUCUGGUGGAGCGGUGAAAUGCGUUGAUAUCAGAAGGAACGCCGGCGGCGAAAGCGGCGCACUGGACCUUUUCUGACGCUGAGGCGCGAAAGCUAGGGGAGCAAACGGGG